UAGUAACACUUUCUACUUUAUCAGUAACUUUAUAUUUCUAAAAUAACCUUUCAGUGUUUCAGUAAUGCAUGCUCUUCAGUGUGUUUGUGUAGACUUGCAGUUAUAGCAGUUGGCCACAGGGUGUCGCGCUUCUCCACACACCAGCAGGAUGCGCAUUAACAGACGGUCUCAGGAGAGAAAUUAGAACAUGGCGUGAGAUGAGACGGUGCUGUCGCGCUGAAAAAGGGGGGCUGUUUGUACAAAAUUUGGAGCGGUUAUUUUCAAUAUUUGUUCCGGAACAGAUUACCAAAGGAAAGAGUUGGAAUAUUCUAUAAAUUGCUUGGACAACAGGAAGUUGCAUCAUCCACAUUUCCUGAAGAUCAUGAGAAGAAGAAAAGAGUCCCUCAGUUGUCCUUGUUGUGGAAAGAUGGAUCUCAAAAUCAUACAGCCACUGUUGGAAAGGGGUCAAAUAUGCUGGAAAAGCAAAGAAUAUGCAGUACGUGGAGGAUUUUCCUGAAGAACAGUGGAGAGUUUAACUGCUCAGGACAAACAAGGGACUCAUGAACAACUAUCACAAAGCAUAAAAACAGUCGUUGAUGAUCCAGGUAACAAUACACAGUAUUAAGAAUCAAGAGUAUGUAAAAUCCGCUUUCAUUUGUGGAAAUCCACUGAGCCCACAAUAAAUGCAAAUGACACAAUCCUUCGUCCCGAGGUGAAGCGUGCUGCCCGGUUUGCAGCGUUUGAUUUUGAAGUGGCUCUCCUUUUGAAGCUUGUAAUACAUGAAAAUGGUUUCAUUUGUGUAAAUUCAGUUAUUAUUGUGUCUUGUGGACUAUAUGUAAAUAUCUGUUAUGUGAAAUAGCUUAUUCAGGGCAGUAGUAAAUAAAAAACAAAAUGCAAUUUUUAUAAUCCCACUUAUUUUUUAAGAAAUUAUUAACAUUUUGCAGAUUCUGCAAGGCAUAUUUAAACUUAUGACCCCAAUUGUAAGUUAUCAUCACUGUGUUAUUAAAGCCACUUGAAGGCAUGAGUUGCAGUGAUUUUAUCAUGGGGAGGGGUGUUCUAAGGCACAACGCGAUGCGGAGUGCCUAAAACCCUCUUAACUUAUUUUGGUUGCUAAGCAACGGGCAAAGAUUAGGGUUUUCUAUGGACAAAACAAUGGUGUAAGAGUUAAGUAAUUAUGUGAAUUGUAAUUGUGAAUCCUUGAAAACUUUUAUCAACAAAGACUCUGGCGCUUUGUAACAAUCAAAACUAAGACUGUUCAUUUCAGGUUUGUGGCACAGUGAAAGCCUUCUAUAAAAAAAAAAAAAAGAGUUGUGGAGAGAGAUUGAUUGUUUAUAGCAGCUAUAAUGCAAAUCAUAGCAGAGACUUGUUUCAGUGACA
This is a long non-coding RNA of Pangasianodon hypophthalmus (striped catfish), 1356 nucleotides long. RefSeq lists it as uncharacterized. Lineage: Eukaryota; Metazoa; Chordata; Actinopteri; Siluriformes; Pangasiidae. The record is from RefSeq and is a predicted model, not a curated record. The transcript is spliced from 3 exons.